RNAcentral lists this unclassified non-coding RNA (240 nucleotides) under soil metagenome. RNAcentral's name for it is "partial contains 5.8S ribosomal RNA, internal transcribed spacer 2, and large subunit ribosomal RNA". The record is from RNAcentral.
AACUGAUACUACCUGCGGGAACCUGCGGAGGGAUCAUUACCGAGUGCGGGCCCGCUGGGUCCAACCUCCCACCCGUGUUUAUCGUACCUUGUUGCUUCGGCGGGCCCGCCGUCAUGGCCGCCGGGGGGCAUCCGCCCCCAGGCCCGCGCCCGCCGAAGACACCCGUGAACGCUGUCUGAAGAAUGCAGUCUGAGCAGAUUAGCUAAAUCGGUUAAAACUUUUAACAAUGGAUCUCUAGAU